AACACACUCAAGUUCCAGUAAAGGGCACCAUUAUAACAGGUCUCUUUGCGGCAGCUCUAGCCUUCUUUAUGGAUGUUUCACAGUUGGCAGGAAUGGUAAGUGUGGGAACACUUCUUGCAUUUACUACUGUUGCAAUAUCAGUUCUGAUACUCAGAUAUGUUCCACCACAUGAGUCCCCACUUCCAUCUUCACUUCAAGAGGCUAUCAACUCAACAUUAUCACAGUUAGA
This 229-nucleotide unclassified non-coding RNA is filed under the name Hevea brasiliensis (rubber tree). Lineage: Eukaryota; Viridiplantae; Streptophyta; Magnoliopsida; Malpighiales; Euphorbiaceae. The record is from RNAcentral.